GUGAAUCAUCGAAUUUUUGAACGCAAAUUGCACUCCCUUCGGAGAGUAUGACUGUUUGAGGGUCAGUAUUAAUAAAAAACGGUGUGUUGCUUCUUUGCGACGCUCCGGAGUUUGGGUCAUCUUAAUAUGCUUGAGGUUGUAAGAGGCUUAAAUUUGACUUUUUUUGCGCAUGUUAGAUGUAGAUAAAGUCUUUUUUUUAUUCGUCUGUCUUAAUGCUCAAAAUGUUAUUAGAUGUGACCAUAUCGGGUGGUUUCGUGCCUAUAAAUUUUUCAUGAUUUGACCUCAAAUCAGGUAGGAGUAA
RNAcentral lists this unclassified non-coding RNA (301 nucleotides) under Glomeraceae sp. Its description in RNAcentral is "partial contains 5.8S ribosomal RNA, internal transcribed spacer 2, and large subunit ribosomal RNA". The stretch from base 1 to 65 matches the Rfam family "5.8S ribosomal RNA", at positions 84 to 154 of the family's 154-position model. The record is from RNAcentral. Lineage: Eukaryota; Fungi; Glomeromycota; Glomeromycetes; Glomerales; Glomeraceae.